RNAcentral lists this long non-coding RNA (1271 nucleotides) under Setaria viridis. RNAcentral describes it as "long non-coding RNA (SVIR_LNC006937)". Lineage: Eukaryota; Viridiplantae; Streptophyta; Magnoliopsida; Poales; Poaceae. The record is from RNAcentral.
UUAUGAUACCUGCAUAUAAGUUAUUCCAAGCCUCACCUGUAGUUGUUAACUUUGAAGUGUCUACCAUGCCAUCUUGGGUGGUUGAGGAAUGGAAUGGAUUAGUAUCAAGUGUCUACCGUGCCAUCUUUACUUUUCCUGCUUAGAUAACUUGGGUUUUUUUUAAAAGGUUUUCAAAUCAAAACAUAGCCUUACUCCUCAAAUGAUUCUCUCAAAUCACUCAAUGUGUAUGGUUCCUUACCAAGGCAUUGAUUUGCCUCUUUUCUUCCUACUUCUAAUAAGGCUUUUUGGGAAGCUUAGGGUAGGGGAUGAAAAGGAAGCAUACUUGUAUUUACAUUAGCAAAGUCAAAAACUGCCAAGGAGAAAACAAGUCAUACAAUCAGAUCAAGAUGUUCAUGUGUGCGAAUAUGUGGAUGGUGGAUGGAAGGUAUAUAGAAACUCCUUUUUAUAUGAUCUCUCUCCCUUUGAAAAUAUUUUGAGAACAUGACUUUCUCUUUUUUUUUCAUAUACUUGGACCAUCAUGUGUCCAACUCUUUGUUUUUUCUUUUUUUUCCUAUACUUGGACCUUCAUGUGUCCAUAUUUUUUUUGAUAGCCCAUGUCCCUUUUGUAACGAUAAUUGGAGAGACAGAUCAACAUAUAUAUAGUGGAGCAUUUAUUUUGCGGAAUGGAUGGAUAGGUGAGUGAAUUGUUGCCCAUCUCCUAGUGUAGGAGUUUAGCGUUUUUAAGUGUCAUGAAAUGAAUCUCACAAGGGUCACAAAUAGUUUGAUGAAACUCAAUGCAAAAAUAAGUAGCAUAUGUAUAAGGUUUUCAAUGAGGUCAACAUAUGGCUUUGGUAGGAAUUUAUCAUAUCAUUAAGGAGUCAAGCUAUUUUUUUAUUUUGUCAAAAUAAAAGUACCAAGUAUUUUGCUAGAAGAAGCAAGGUUUCUUUAAUCAUACCAUAUCUUAUUUGUCAACUACUUAGAUGACAUGCUUUCCCUAUGAUAAAUUGUUUAUAAGUAAUAGGACUAUUAGCGAGGAAUAAAGAAUAUGCAAGCCAACCCUAGGAAAGGCAUGUUCAUCAUGAGGAGGUUGGCAAGGCUCAUUGAGUUUAAUUUUAGUGAUCAACAUAAAGUUUGUUUGAACUUAGGAAUUUAGGGAGUUAGUGGGUUUUGUUGCACAAACCUUUGUUGAAGAGGAAGAAGAGGGAACUGGAGGGGAGUCAGAGGUGGUUCGGCUGAACUGGAGGUUCAGCCAUCCCUCUCUGUAGUCUAUCUGUCCUGUUCUUCUAUGGGCU